RNAcentral lists this ribosomal RNA (253 nucleotides) under uncultured bacterium. RNAcentral describes it as "partial 16S ribosomal RNA". It matches the Rfam family "Bacterial small subunit ribosomal RNA", at positions 524 to 776 of the family's 1533-position model. The record is from RNAcentral.
GACGAAGGAUGCAAGCGUUAUCCGGAUUCAUUGGGUUUAAAGGGUCCGUAGGCGGUUUGGUAAGUCAGUGGUGAAAGCCCAUCGCUCAACGGUGGAACGGCCAUUGAUACUGCCAGACUUGAAUUAUUAGGAAGUAACUAGAAUAUGUAGUGUAGCGGUGAAAUGCUUAGAGAUUACAUGGAAUACCAAUUGCGAAGGCAGGUUACUACUAAUGGAUUGACGCUGAUGGACGAAAGCGUGGGUAGCGAACAGG